GUACUGGAUUAACUCCGAGCUUUCAGACCUAACUCCUAAUGACAAGGUUUGCUGGCCGCGAUACAGAUGUUUACAUCGAUAGUUAUCGCCAGGGUUGCAAGAGAAAUCGCGCUGCCUCCCCUAAGUAGCGGGUAAUUGUGUUCGCUACUUCAUUUUGGAAAGGUGUUAGUGAUAUGUUAGA
Molecule: non-coding RNA, 181 nt
Filed under: Brumicola pallidula
Lineage: Bacteria; Pseudomonadati; Pseudomonadota; Gammaproteobacteria; Alteromonadales; Alteromonadaceae
Description: Glaciecola pallidula MoCo sequence
Rfam family: Molybdenum/Tungsten riboswitch aptamer (Moco RNA motif)
Source: RNAcentral